RNAcentral lists this unclassified non-coding RNA (332 nucleotides) under Hevea brasiliensis (rubber tree). The record is from RNAcentral. Lineage: Eukaryota; Viridiplantae; Streptophyta; Magnoliopsida; Malpighiales; Euphorbiaceae.
UUUUGCUUGGAGUCGCAGUUUCAGGACAAGCUUGGCUUCUGGCCACAUCUUCAACAAUCUCUGGUUUCUCCCCUCGGUUCACAUCCUCUAGAAGCUUCAACGGGAUAACCUUGAACUUUGAUGACGGCUCUUCCACAGAACUCACACCACUACUAAGCUUCUUCAUGUCCUUAGCUGAAUUUUGUGCAUUCUCAAACUCCGGCUUCCACAUUAUCGGCCAUGGAAACUGCAUUUUUCCAUCAUCUACGUUCCUAUUAUUCUUCUCCUCUCCUCCUUGUCUCACGCCCUUGAGGGUAUUAGUAUCCAGCGGGCCACUACUAAGCUUCUUCAAG